This 942-nucleotide ribosomal RNA is filed under the name Triticum aestivum (bread wheat). Its description in RNAcentral is "partial small subunit ribosomal RNA". The record is from RNAcentral. Lineage: Eukaryota; Viridiplantae; Streptophyta; Magnoliopsida; Poales; Poaceae.
AUGGAUGCGGCGGCGAACCCUAGCCGCAGCGGCUUGCCGGCGCCUCUGCUCUUCUCUUCUCCUAGAGCAACCCCCUCGUCGCACUACGACGCGCCCCCUGCCACUCCUCUUGUAUGCGAAACCCGACGGCCAUGCCAUCCUUCCUUCGCCUCCACCUCCACCUCCCCGACCGCGUGCUCCUUCGCCGCCCAGCGACGGCGGCCGAUUUACGACGGAUCUAUCUGGCGCGACGGUAGCGCCAGCCAACCCAUGGAGGCGGCGCCUGCCGUGCCUCUGCUGCUCUCCCCGAGCUCCCUCCUCAUCUUACGACGACGCCUCCGCACCCCCUCCACCUCGACUCGGGCUUUGGUUCAGCAAUGCCUCAGGGGGGAGAUAGUCGUCGGAGGUCCCAAUGUAAAAAAAGACCGUUCCAAGAAUGAAGCUAAAACAAAUGAGGUCUAUCAGGAUAGAGAGGUCGUCAUCGCCAUCACGUCCAUGCUGUGUCAACCCCACUGCCCCCUUUAUUUUGUCUGUGCCUUUUACAACUCUGGUGACCGCCUCUCGCUCGACUCGGGCAUCGGGCGUUUCCAUCCAGAUGGCUGCCUCAAAUUUAUUGACCGCAAGAAAGAUAUUGUCAAGCCUCAACAUGAUUAUAGACUGCAAAUGUUCAUGCUCUCAAUAUCUAGUCAACCUGGACAUGGUGUGGGCAGGACUGGAGGGUGCCAGCAUUCCGAUAACAUGAACAUUACAAGCUUUGUACUUUGGAUGGUCAAAUUAUUAGUAUUCAACAACUUGUGCCACCAAGCCCCGUACUGCUGCAUUUCAUUGCCAUGUACUUCUACUAUUGUGCUUGCAUUGGCAUGCGCCUUCGGUAAUGAUUUGUCAGGGCGUUGUGCCUCAUAUGACAACAAUAAUUCUGAAACUCUUGAGUCAUCUUCAAGUUUUAAUCUUGGCAAACUGUAA